RNAcentral lists this ribosomal RNA (305 nucleotides) under uncultured bacterium. Its description in RNAcentral is "bacterial SSU rRNA". It matches the Rfam family "Bacterial small subunit ribosomal RNA", at positions 333 to 635 of the family's 1533-position model. The record is from RNAcentral.
CGGGGCCUACGGGGGGCAGCAGUGAGGAAUAUUGGUCAAUGGGAGAGAUCCUGAACCAGCCAAGCCGCGUGAGGGAAGACGGCCCUAUGGGUUGUAAACCUCUUUUGUCGGAGAACAGAACCCGGGACGAGUCCCAGACUGCGUGUAUCCGAAGAAAAAGCAUCGGCUAACUCCGUGCCAGCAGCCGCGGUAAUACGGAGGAUGCGAGCGUUAUCCGGAUUUACUGGGUGUAAAGGGUGCGCAGGCGGCUCUGCAAGUCAGGCGUGAAAGCUAGGGGCUCAACCCCUAAACUGCGCUUGAAACUG